This is a small nucleolar RNA of Dipodomys ordii (Ord's kangaroo rat), 131 nucleotides long. The record is from Ensembl. NCBI's taxonomy places the organism in Eukaryota, Metazoa, Chordata, Mammalia, Rodentia, Heteromyidae.
AAGCCAGCCAGUGAGUCUGCAUUCCUAAAUAUGUAUAUAAAGAGAUUUAGGUAAAGUUGGCAAUAACAGUGUCAUGACAUGAGCCUUAAGGACAAUCAAAGUCAUUGAGGUCCCUGAAAAUGGCUACAACA